GAUGAACGCUAGCGGCAGGCUUAAUACAUGCAAGUCGAGGGGCAGCACGGUUAGCAAUAACUGGUGGCGACCGGCGCACGGGUGCGUAACACGUAUACAAUCUACCUUAAACAGGGGGAUAGCCUUUCGAAAGAGAGAUUAAUACCCCGUAAUAAAUUGAACGGCAUCGUUUGAUUUUGAAAGCUCCGGCGGUUUGAGAUGAGUAUGCGUCUGAUUAGCUAGUUGGUGAGGUAACGGCUCACCAAGGCGACGAUCAGUAGGGGAUCUGAGAGGACUAACCCCCACACUGGUACUGAGACACGGACCAGACUCCUACGGGAGGCAGCAGUAAGGAAUAUUGGUCAAUGGAGGCAACUCUGAACCAGCCAUGCCGCGUGCAGGAUGACGGCCCUAUGGGUUGUAAAGCUCUUUUACUCGGGACGAUAAUGACGGUACCGAGAGAAUAAGCCCCGGCUAACUCCGUGCCAGCAGCCGCGGUAAU
This 481-nucleotide ribosomal RNA is filed under the name uncultured bacterium. Its description in RNAcentral is "bacterial SSU rRNA". It matches the Rfam family "Bacterial small subunit ribosomal RNA", at positions 28 to 524 of the family's 1533-position model. The record is from RNAcentral.